RNAcentral lists this ribosomal RNA (315 nucleotides) under Lysmata uncicornis. RNAcentral's name for it is "partial large subunit ribosomal RNA". Lineage: Eukaryota; Metazoa; Arthropoda; Malacostraca; Decapoda; Hippolytidae. The record is from RNAcentral.
UGACAAGAAGUUAGCUGUCUCUAAGAUAAAUCUUUAAUUUUACUUUUAAGUGAAAAGGCUUAAAUGCGGUAGAGGGGCGAUAAGACCCUAUAAAACUUUACAGGUUUCUAGCAAUUAUCGAAUUUUUGUGUAAAUUUGUUUUUAGUGUUACUGUUUUGUUGGGGCGACAGAAAUAUAAUUAAUUAACUGUUUCUAGUUUAAAAAUAGUUCUAAUUAGUUAAGUUGAUCCUUUAAUAGAGAUUAAAAGAUUAAGUUACUUUAGGGAUAACAGCGUAAUUUCUCUUGAGAGUUCUAAUCGACAGAGUUAGUUGCGAC